RNAcentral lists this long non-coding RNA (289 nucleotides) under Elaeis guineensis (African oil palm). RNAcentral's name for it is "long non-coding RNA (EGUI_LNC066116)". The record is from RNAcentral. Lineage: Eukaryota; Viridiplantae; Streptophyta; Magnoliopsida; Arecales; Arecaceae.
GGUACAGUCAAGUACUUGCGAAGUCAGAGUGUGAUCGAGAUGGGAUUGACCACUCCAAGAGUUGGAGAAGAAUGAGUCGCUGUAUUUCAAUUUAGCAAAAUCUUGGCCAGGGUAAUCCAUCAAAUGGAUUUGAUAUUUUGAAAUACAAUGUGGAAAACCAGAUCAGAGUUGACAGUUGAACUCUGGGGUGUCCUAUGAUCAUUUUGGUCAAGGAGAUGAAUUAUAUGAAAACUAUAUCCGCAUGGGUUCUAAGGAUGUUGUUCUACACAUUCGACCUAUCCGGUCGUCG